RNAcentral lists this ribosomal RNA (248 nucleotides) under uncultured bacterium. RNAcentral's name for it is "partial 16S ribosomal RNA". It matches the Rfam family "Bacterial small subunit ribosomal RNA", at positions 57 to 305 of the family's 1533-position model. The record is from RNAcentral.
GCAAGUCGAGGGGUAACAGGAAAGCUUGCUUUUGCGACGACCGGCGCACGUGUGCGAAACGCGUAUGCAACCUCCCUCAUACUGGGGGAUAGCCCUUGGAAACGAGGAUUAAUACUCCAUGGUAUCAUGAAUUCGAAUGUUUUUAAGAUUAAAGUUCUUCGGUAUGAGAUGGGCAUGCGUGCCAUUAGCUGUUGGUGAGGUAACGGCUCACCAAGGCGACGAUGGGUAGGGGGCCUGAGAGGGUGGUC